AACUCUUCGGAGUUAGUGGCGGACGGGUGAGUAACACGUGGGAACGUGCCUUUUGGUUCGGAAUAACUCAGGGAAACUUGUGCUAAUACCGAAUGUGCCCUUCGGGGGAAAGAUUUAUCGCCAUUAGAGCGGCCCGCGUCUGAUUAGCUAGUUGGUGAGGUAACGGCUCACCAAGGCGACGAUCAGUAGCUGGUCUGAGAGGAUGACCAGCCACACUGGGACUGAGACACGGCCCAGACUCCUACGGGAGGCAGCAGUGGGGAAUCUUGCGCAAUGGGCGAAAGCCUGACGCACCCAUGCCGCGUGAAUGAUGAAGGUCUUAAGAUUGUAAAAUUCUUUCACCGGGGACGAUAAUGACGGUACCCGGAAAAGAAGCCCCGGCUAACUUCGUGCCAGCAGCCGCGGUAAUACGAAGGGGGCUAGCGUUGCUCGGAAUUACUGGGCGUAAAGGGCGCGUAGGCGGAUCGUUAAGUCAGGGGUGAAAUCCCGGGGCUCAACCUCGGAACUGCCCUUGAUACUGGCGAUCUUGAGUAUGAGAGAGGUAUGUGGAACUCCGAGUGUAGAGGUGAAAUUCGUAUAUAUUCGGAAGAACACCAGUGGCGAACGCGACAUACUGGCUCAUUACUGACGCUGAGGCGCGAAAGCGUGGGGAGCAAACAGGAUUAUAUACCCUGGUACUCCACGCCGUACACGAUGAUUGCUAGUUGUCGGGCUGCAUGCAGUUC
RNAcentral lists this ribosomal RNA (725 nucleotides) under Brevundimonas diminuta. Its description in RNAcentral is "bacterial SSU rRNA". It matches the Rfam family "Bacterial small subunit ribosomal RNA", at positions 69 to 841 of the family's 1533-position model. Lineage: Bacteria; Pseudomonadati; Pseudomonadota; Alphaproteobacteria; Caulobacterales; Caulobacteraceae. The record is from RNAcentral.